RNAcentral lists this ribosomal RNA (266 nucleotides) under uncultured prokaryote. RNAcentral's name for it is "partial 16S ribosomal RNA". It matches the Rfam family "Bacterial small subunit ribosomal RNA", at positions 524 to 789 of the family's 1533-position model. The record is from RNAcentral.
UACGUAGGUGGCGAGCGUUGUCCGGAUUUACUGGGCGUAAAGGGAGCGUAGGCGGACUUUUAAGUGAGAUGUGAAAUACCCGGGCUCAACUUGGGUGCUGCAUUUCAAACUGGAAGUCUAGAGUGCAGGAGAGGAGAAUGGAAUUCCUAGUGUAGCGGUGAAAUGCGUAGAGAUUAGGAAGAACACCAGUGGCGAAGGCGACUUCCUGGCACAAUACUGACGCUCAGGCACGAAGGCGUGGGGAUCAAACAGGAUUAGAUACCCGU